Molecule: ribosomal RNA, 253 nt
Filed under: uncultured bacterium
Lineage: Bacteria
Description: partial 16S ribosomal RNA
Rfam family: Bacterial small subunit ribosomal RNA
Source: RNAcentral
UACGUAUGGAGCAAGCGUUAUCCGGAAUGACUGGGCGUAAAGGGUGCGUAGGUGGUUUGGCAAGUUGGUAGCGUAAUCCCGGGGCUUAACUCCGGUGCUACUACCAAAACUGCUGGGCUUGAGUGCAGGAGGGGUGAAUGGAAUUCCUAGUGUAGCGGUGGAAUGCGUAGAUAUUAGGAAGAACACCAGCGGCGAAGGCGAUUCACUGGACUGUAACUGACACUGAGGCACGAAAGCGUGGGGAGCAAACAGG